RNAcentral lists this ribosomal RNA (237 nucleotides) under uncultured bacterium. RNAcentral's name for it is "partial 16S ribosomal RNA". It matches the Rfam family "Bacterial small subunit ribosomal RNA", at positions 15 to 244 of the family's 1533-position model. The record is from RNAcentral.
GAUCAUGGCUCAGGAUGAACGCUGGCGGCAUGCCUAAUACAUGCAAGUCGAACGAGAGGAAGCAAGCUUGCUUGUGGAAUCUAGUGGCGAACGGGUGAGUAACACGUAGGUAACCUGCCCCAACGACCGGGAUAACGAUUGGAAACGAUAGCUAAUACCGGAUAGGUGGCACCUUCGCAUGAAGGGGCCAUUAAAGUUGCUACGGCAGCACGAUGGGAUGGACCUGCGGUGCAUUAG